CCUACGGGUGGCAGCAGUCGAGAAUCAUUCACAAUGGGGGAAACCCUGAUGGUGCGACGCCGCGUGAGUGAAGAAGUAUUUCGGUAUGUAAAGCUCUAUCAGCAGGGAAGAAAAUGACGGUACCUGAUUAAGAAGCCCCGGCUAACUACGUGCCAGCAGCCGCGGGAAUACGGAGGGGGCAAGCGUUAUCCGGAUUUACUGGGUGUAAAGGGAGCGUAGACGGCAGCACAAGUCUGGAGUGAAAUGCCUGGGCUUAACCCCGGAACUGCUUUGGAAACUGUGCAGCUAGAGUGCAGGAGAGGUAAGUGGAAUGCCUAGUGUAGCGGUGAAAUGCGUAGAUAUUAGGAGGAACACCAGUGGCGAAGGCGGCUUACUGGACUGUAACUGACGUUGAGGCUCGAAAGCGUGGGGAGCAAACAGGAUUAGAUACCCUGGUAGUC
This 440-nucleotide ribosomal RNA is filed under the name uncultured bacterium. Its description in RNAcentral is "partial 16S ribosomal RNA". It matches the Rfam family "Bacterial small subunit ribosomal RNA", at positions 338 to 795 of the family's 1533-position model. The record is from RNAcentral.